This 340-nucleotide long non-coding RNA is filed under the name Lathyrus oleraceus (garden pea). RNAcentral describes it as "Pisum sativum (pea) long non-coding RNA (PSAT_LNC022507)". The record is from RNAcentral. Lineage: Eukaryota; Viridiplantae; Streptophyta; Magnoliopsida; Fabales; Fabaceae.
AAUGUGCUUUUAAUAAAAAAAAUAGAAAAUUGCAAAAAAAAUAAAAUAUUAUUCUUGGGCCUAAAACAAACUUGGAUGACUUAAAAAGCUUUCCUACAUCAUUAAUAAAAUUUAAUUUUUUCCUUUUCUUUUUCUUUUUUCUAAUCAUGCUUCUGUUGUCAAAUUAAUUUAGCAUGGUAUCAAUGAAUAAUAAUGCUCUGAUCAACCAUCUUUCUUUCUCUGAUUUCUCCUUUCCAAAGCACUCACACAACAACCACGUGUAUAACACAUGUCAAUAUUUUUCUCUUUCUCCAAGACUUUCUCAUAGCCUUCUCUCAACAACUCUGCAACUCUUGCUCAG